AGGGGUUUAGCUCAAUGGUAGAGUAUUUGCUUAGCACGCAUAAUGCCCUAAAUUCAACCUCUA
RNAcentral lists this transfer RNA (63 nucleotides) under Heterocephalus glaber (naked mole-rat). It matches the Rfam family "tRNA". Rfam says of the family: Transfer RNA (tRNA) molecules are approximately 80 nucleotides in length. Their secondary structure includes four short double-helical elements and three loops (D, anti-codon, and T loops). Further hydrogen bonds mediate the characteristic L-shaped molecular structure. tRNAs have two regions of fundamental functional importance: the anti-codon, which is responsible for specific mRNA codon recognition, and the 3' end, to which the tRNAs corresponding amino acid is attached (by aminoacyl-tRNA synthetases). tRNAs cope with the degeneracy of the genetic code in two manners: having more than one tRNA (with a specific anti-codon) for a particular amino acid; and 'wobble' base-pairing, i.e. permitting non-standard base-pairing at the 3rd anti-codon position. Lineage: Eukaryota; Metazoa; Chordata; Mammalia; Rodentia; Bathyergidae. The record is from Rfam by way of RNAcentral.